This 371-nucleotide long non-coding RNA is filed under the name Elaeis guineensis (African oil palm). RNAcentral describes it as "long non-coding RNA (EGUI_LNC079195)". Lineage: Eukaryota; Viridiplantae; Streptophyta; Magnoliopsida; Arecales; Arecaceae. The record is from RNAcentral.
CCCAUCCGGUCUAAAUGGAACCGGACCUUCGACUUUGCUCAAGUUAGGGCGAGGUUCUCCUCCUGUCCCUAACAGGGCUGUGGGGGCUCAUAUGGGCGUUGUAAGGCCUCUCCCCCCAUCCGGUCUAAAUGGAACCGGGCCUUCGACUUUGUCGGGACGUCGUUUUCCUUUCGCUUCUGACACAGUUUGUGCGAAUUGUUUAAAGACAUGCAGGUACGCAACUUGCAAUUAAAAUAAAGUUAUUGGUAGUACACCCGUAAGUUUUUCGAGUUCCACGGUUGCGGGAGGUCGGCUCCUCCGAGUUCCUUAAGAUAAUAAGUUCCUGGCCGGACUACUUCUUUGACUUCAUACGGUCCUUCCCAGUUUGGGGC